CUUGCUUAGGUCUGUGGUUGAAAAUCGAUGCCAGUCGCAGGCGAAACGAUCCACGUAAGGAGCUCAAAAAGGGCUCUGAGCAUGGUGCGGCUUAGAAGUAAGUCCUGCCGUCCGGUGGUAAAUUUCUCAAGUGAAUUUAUUAUGGGACGAGAGGGGUAGUAGUGAGGAGGUAAUACUUAGUAGCGAACCCUCCAGCAGGCGGGUGUGGGGGCAAAGACCAGGUCGGCUAAGCAAA
RNAcentral lists this non-coding RNA (235 nucleotides) under unclassified sequences. Its description in RNAcentral is "raiA RNA". It matches the Rfam family "raiA RNA". The record is from Rfam by way of RNAcentral.